Molecule: transfer RNA, 87 nt
Filed under: Anaerolineaceae bacterium
Lineage: Bacteria; Bacillati; Chloroflexota; Anaerolineae; Anaerolineales; Anaerolineaceae
Also listed under: 2 other names
Description: tRNA-Ser
Rfam family: tRNA
About the family: Transfer RNA (tRNA) molecules are approximately 80 nucleotides in length.
Source: RNAcentral
GGAGAGGUGGCCGAGUGGUUGAAGGCAACGGUCUUGAAAACCGUCGUGCCCGCAAGGGUACCGCAGGUUCGAAUCCUGUCCUCUCCG